This 87-nucleotide transfer RNA is filed under the name Mycoplasmopsis alligatoris A21JP2. RNAcentral describes it as "tRNA-Leu". It matches the Rfam family "tRNA". From Rfam's summary of the family: Transfer RNA (tRNA) molecules are approximately 80 nucleotides in length. Their secondary structure includes four short double-helical elements and three loops (D, anti-codon, and T loops). Further hydrogen bonds mediate the characteristic L-shaped molecular structure. tRNAs have two regions of fundamental functional importance: the anti-codon, which is responsible for specific mRNA codon recognition, and the 3' end, to which the tRNAs corresponding amino acid is attached (by aminoacyl-tRNA synthetases). tRNAs cope with the degeneracy of the genetic code in two manners: having more than one tRNA (with a specific anti-codon) for a particular amino acid; and 'wobble' base-pairing, i.e. permitting non-standard base-pairing at the 3rd anti-codon position. Lineage: Bacteria; Bacillati; Mycoplasmatota; Mycoplasmoidales; Metamycoplasmataceae. The record is from RNAcentral.
GCCCAGGUGGCGGAAUAGGUAGACGCAAGGGACUUAAAAUCCCUCGGUCGCAAGACCGUGCUGGUUCAAGUCCAGUCUUGGGCACCA